Molecule: ribosomal RNA, 237 nt
Filed under: uncultured bacterium
Lineage: Bacteria
Description: partial 16S ribosomal RNA
Rfam family: Bacterial small subunit ribosomal RNA
Source: RNAcentral
GACCUACGGGAGGCAGCAGUGGGGAAUAUUGCACAAUGGAGGAAACUCUGAUGCAGCGAUGCCGCGUGAGGGAAGAAGGUUUUCGGAUUGUAAACCUCUGUCUUAAGGGACGAUAAUGACGGUACCUUAGGAGGAAGCUCCGGCUAACUACGUGCCAGCAGCCGCGGUAAUACGUAGGUGGCAAGCGUUGUCCGGAUUUAUUGGGCGUAAAGCGAGUGCAGGCGGUUCAAUAAGUCU